UACGUAGGCAGCGAGCGUUGUUCGGAAUUACUGGGCGUAAAGAGUGUGUAGGCGGUGCUCUAAGUUCGGUGUGAAAUCUCCCGGCUUAACUGGGAGGGUGCGCCGGAAACUGGAGUGCUCGAGCGUGGGAGAGGAAAGCGGAAUUCCUGGUGUAGCGGUGAAAUGCGUAGAUAUCAGGAGGAACACCGGUGGUGUAGACGGCUUUCUGGACCAUAGCUGACGCUGAGACACGAAAGCGUGGGUAGCAAACAGG
Molecule: ribosomal RNA, 253 nt
Filed under: uncultured bacterium
Lineage: Bacteria
Description: partial 16S ribosomal RNA
Rfam family: Bacterial small subunit ribosomal RNA
Source: RNAcentral